CAGACGAUGCGUCAUGUAUAUCAAUAAGCGGAGGAAAAGAAACUAACAAGGAUUCCCCUAGUAACGGCGAGUGAAGCGGGAAGAGCUCAAAUUUGAAAUCUUAAAGGGUUUCCCUUUACGAAUUGUAGUUUAAAGAAGUGUUUUCUGUUGAGGUUUUGGUAAAAGUUCUUUGGAAUAGGACAUCAUAGAGGGUGAGAAUCCCGUAUUUGACCUUUACUUUCAACUUUGUGAUACACUUUCAAAGAGUCGGAUUGUUUGGGAAUGCAGUCCAAAAUGGGUGGUAAAUUUCAUCUAAAGCUAAAUAUUGGCGAGAGACCGAUAGCGAACAAGUACCGUGAGGGAAAGAUGAAAAGAACUUUGAAGAGGAGAGUUAAACAGUACGUGAAAUUGUCAAAAGGGAAGCGUUUGACACCAGUGUUGUUUUUCUGAAAAUCAAUUAAAGAACUGUUUAUGCUAAGCUGUUUAGACUUUAUCAGCUAUCUGUUUAGUUUUGAGCCUUUUCUUUAAUGCACUUUUCAGUUAACAAGUCAACAUCAAUUUCUUUUGCUGUAAAAAAGCUUGAGGAAGGUGGCUUGAGAUUCGUCUUAAGUGUUUAUAGCCUCUUGCCUAUGCAGUCGGAGAGAUUGAGGUCUGCAGCGUAGAUCCUUCGGGGCUAAAUGCAUUUGUGCUAAGUUAUAGCAUUUUAUAGACAACUUGUUGACUAUGAUUUGUCUUGUAGCUUACUCGCUUAUGUUAUUUUACCUACGCUUAGGAUGUUGACACACGCGCGUGCUCG
This 775-nucleotide ribosomal RNA is filed under the name uncultured Neocallimastigales. RNAcentral's name for it is "partial large subunit ribosomal RNA". It matches the Rfam family "Eukaryotic large subunit ribosomal RNA", at positions 18 to 643 of the family's 3401-position model. The record is from RNAcentral. Lineage: Eukaryota; Fungi; Neocallimastigomycota; Neocallimastigomycetes; Neocallimastigales.